This 29-nucleotide small RNA is filed under the name Bombyx mori (domestic silkworm). Its description in RNAcentral is "ovarian small RNA-32588". The record is from RNAcentral. Lineage: Eukaryota; Metazoa; Arthropoda; Insecta; Lepidoptera; Bombycidae.
UGAUAUUUGUUGUUAUUGUCUGCGAUUUC